GAAUCUUGGACAAUGGGCGCAAGCCUGAUCCAGCCAUGCCGCGUGAGUGAUGAAGGCCCUAGGGUUGUAAAGCUCUUUUGUCCGGAAAGAAAAGCCUUCGGUUAAUACCCGGGGGUGAUGACGGUACCGGAAGAAUAAGCACCGGCUAACUUCGUGCCAGCAGCCGCGGUAAUACGAAGGGUGCAAGCGUUACUCGGAAUUCCUGGGCGUAAAGCGUGCGUAGGUGGUUCGUUAAGUCUGAUGUGAAAGCCCUGGGCUCAACCUGGGAAUGGCAUUGGAAACUGGCGACCUAGAGUGCGGUAGAGGGUAGUGGAAUUCCCGGUGUAGCAGUGAAAUGCGUAGAGAUCGGGAGGAACAUCCGUGGCGAAGGCGACUACCUGGACCAGCACUGACACUGAGGCACGAAAGCGUGGGGAGCAAACAGG
RNAcentral lists this ribosomal RNA (425 nucleotides) under uncultured bacterium. Its description in RNAcentral is "bacterial SSU rRNA". It matches the Rfam family "Bacterial small subunit ribosomal RNA", at positions 359 to 776 of the family's 1533-position model. The record is from RNAcentral.